This 114-nucleotide small nuclear RNA is filed under the name Sinocyclocheilus anshuiensis. Its description in RNAcentral is "U5 spliceosomal RNA (ENSSANG00000023285.1)". It matches the Rfam family "U5 spliceosomal RNA". From Rfam's summary of the family: U5 RNA is a component of both types of known spliceosome. The precise function of this molecule is unknown, though it is known that the 5' loop is required for splice site selection and p220 binding, and that both the 3' stem-loop and the Sm site are important for Sm protein binding and cap methylation. The record is from Rfam by way of RNAcentral. Lineage: Eukaryota; Metazoa; Chordata; Actinopteri; Cypriniformes; Cyprinidae.
ACACGCAUAUUUCUUCUCAAAUCGUAUAAAUCUUUCGCCUUUUACUAAAGAUUUCCGUGGGGAGGAACACAAUGAGUAUAAAUUAAUAUUUUGAUGCCUUGCUUUUACGGUGCU